UGCAGUCGAGCGGAUGAAGGGAGCUUGCUCCUGGAUUCAGCGGCGGACGGGUGAGUAAUGCCUAGGAAUCUGCCUGGUAGUGGGGGAUAACGUCCGGAAACGGGCGCUAAUACCGCAUACGUCCUGAGGGAGAAAGUGGGGGAUCUUCGGACCUCACGCUAUCAGAUGAGCCUAGGUCGGAUUAGCUAGUUGGUGGGGUAAAGGCCUACCAAGGCGACGAUCCGUAACUGGUCUGAGAGGAUGAUCAGUCACACUGGAACUGAGACACGGUCCAGACUCCUACGGGAGGCAGCAGUGGGGAAUAUUGGACAAUGGGCGAAAGCCUGAUCCAGCCAUGCCGCGUGUGUGAAGAAGGUCUUCGGAUUGUAAAGCACUUUAAGUUGGGAGGAAGGGCAGUAAGUUAAUACCUUGCUGUUUUGACGUUACCAACAGAAUAAGCACCGGCUAACUUCGUGCCAGCAGCCGCGGUAAUACGAAGGGUGCAAGCGUUAAUCGGAAUUACUGGGCGUAAAGCGCGCGUAGGUGGUUCAGCAAGUUGGAUGUGAAAUCCCCGGGCUCAACCUGGGAACUGCAUCCAAAACUACUGAGCUAGAGUACGGUAGAGGGUGGUGGAAUUUCCUGUGUAGCGGUGAAAUGCGUAGAUAUAGGAAGGAACACCAGUGGCGAAGGCGACCACCUGGACUGAUACUGACACUGAGGUGCGAAAGCGUGGGGAGCAAACAGGAUUAGAUACCCUGGUAGUCCACGCCGUAAACGAUGUCGACUAGCCGUUGGGAUCCUUGAGAUCUUAGUGGCGCAGCUAACGCGAUAAGUCGACCGCCUGGGGAGUACGGCCGCAAGGUUAAAACUCAAAUGAAUUGACGGGGGCCCGCACAAGCGGUGGAGCAUGUGGUUUUAAUUCGAAGCAACGCGAAGAACCUUACC
Molecule: ribosomal RNA, 924 nt
Filed under: Pseudomonas aeruginosa
Lineage: Bacteria; Pseudomonadati; Pseudomonadota; Gammaproteobacteria; Pseudomonadales; Pseudomonadaceae
Also listed under: 1 other name
Description: bacterial SSU rRNA
Rfam family: Bacterial small subunit ribosomal RNA
Source: RNAcentral